CCUGCUCCUGGAGUUGUUACACGUGUGGCUGCUGUGUCACACGUGUGUCAGUAGGUGGCAGGGAAAAGAGAGGCUAUGUCUACACUCAGUAUUCUGAUCUAUGAACAUCUGAAUGAUUAGUAACCUGACAUU
Grammomys surdaster is the source of this 132-nucleotide small nucleolar RNA. RefSeq annotates it as small nucleolar RNA SNORA17. The record is from RefSeq and is a predicted model, not a curated record. The transcript has a single exon. Lineage: Eukaryota; Metazoa; Chordata; Mammalia; Rodentia; Muridae.